AACGUCCCGCAACGAGCGACCAACCCUACGUUUAGUUGCUAACGCGUGAAGGCGAGCACUCUAGACGAACUGCCGUUGACAAAACGGAGGAAGGUGGGAUGACGUCAAAUCAUCAUGCCCCUUAUGUUCUGGGCUACACACGUGCUACAAUGGCCGGUACAGACGGACGCAAAGCCGCGAGGUGGAGCAAAUCCUAAAAAGCCGGUCUCAGUUCGGAUUGCAGGCUGCAAUUCGCCUGCAUGAAGUCGGAAUCGCUAGUAAUCGCAGGUCAGCAUACUGCGGUGAAUACGUUCCCGGGCCUU
Molecule: ribosomal RNA, 302 nt
Filed under: uncultured Pelotomaculum sp.
Lineage: Bacteria; Bacillati; Bacillota; Clostridia; Eubacteriales; Desulfotomaculaceae
Description: bacterial SSU rRNA
Rfam family: Bacterial small subunit ribosomal RNA
Source: RNAcentral